GCAGUUUCCCCCAUAUUGUUCUCGUGGUAGUGAAUAAGUCUCACGAGAUCUGAUGGGUUUAUCAGGGGUUUCCGCUUUUGCGUCUUCCUCAUUUUCUCUUGCCGCUGCCAGAUAAGAAGUGGCUUUCGCCUCCCACCAUGAUUCUGAGGCCUCCUCAGCCAUGUGAAACUGUAAGUCCAAUUAAACCUCUUUUUCUUCCCAGUCUCG
Molecule: long non-coding RNA, 207 nt
Filed under: Homo sapiens (human)
Lineage: Eukaryota; Metazoa; Chordata; Mammalia; Primates; Hominidae
Description: non-protein coding lnc-TBCA-1:1
Source: RNAcentral